RNAcentral lists this small nuclear RNA (107 nucleotides) under Dasypus novemcinctus (nine-banded armadillo). Lineage: Eukaryota; Metazoa; Chordata; Mammalia; Cingulata; Dasypodidae. The record is from RNAcentral.
GUGCUCACUUCGGCAGCACAUAUACUAAAAUUGGAACAACACAGAGAAGAUUAGCAUGGCCCUUGAGCAAGGAUGACAUGCAAAUUUGUGAAGCAUUCCAUAUUUUA